UGGGGAAUCUUCCGCAAUGGACGAAAGUCUGACGGAGCAACGCCGCGUGAGUGAUGACGGUCCUCGGAUUGUAAAGCUCUGUUAAUCGGGACGAAUGGUUUGUGUGCAAAUAGUGCAUAGACAUGACGGUACCGGAAUAGAAAGCCACGGCUAACUACGUGCCAGCAGCCGCGGUAAUACGUAGGUGGCAAGCGUUGUCCGGAAUUAUUGGGCGUAAAGCGCGCGCAGGCGGACUAGCCAGUCAGUCUUAAAAGUUCGGGGCUUAACCCCGUGAUGGGAUUGAAACUACUAGUCUAGAGUAUCGGAGAGAAAAGUGGAAUUCCUAGUGUGGCGGUGAAAAGCGUGAAUAUUAGGAAGAACACCAGUGGCGAAGGCGACUUUCUGGACGAACACUGACGCUGAGGCGCGAAAGCCAGGGGAGCGAACGGG
RNAcentral lists this ribosomal RNA (429 nucleotides) under Verrucomicrobiota bacterium. Its description in RNAcentral is "Verrucomicrobia bacterium partial 16S ribosomal RNA". It matches the Rfam family "Bacterial small subunit ribosomal RNA", at positions 355 to 776 of the family's 1533-position model. Lineage: Bacteria; Pseudomonadati; Verrucomicrobiota. The record is from RNAcentral.